CCUACGGGAGGCUGCAGUGAGGAAUAUUGGUCAAUGGACGCAAGUCUGAACCAGCCAAGUAGCGUGCAGGAUGACGGCCCUCCGGGUUGUAAACUGCAUUUAGUUGGGAAUAAAAGAGGGCUCGUGAGCCCGUAUUGUAUGUUCCAUCCGAACAAGGAGCGGCUAAUUCCGUGCCAGCAGCCGCGGUAAUACGGAAGGUUCGGGCGUUAGCCGGAUUUAUUGGGUUUAAAGGGAGCGUAGGCAGGCUUGUAAGUCAGCUGUGAAAGUCCGCGGCACAAGCGUGGAAUUGCAGUUGAAACUGGAGGCCUUGAGUGCACACAGGGAUGCCGGAAUUCAUGGUGUAGCGGUGAAAUGCUUAGAUAUCAUGAAGAACUCCGAUCGCGAAGGCAAGUGUCCGGGGUGCAACUGACGCUGAGGCUCGAAAGUGCGGGUAUCAAACAGGAUUAGAUACCCUGGUAGUC
This 461-nucleotide ribosomal RNA is filed under the name uncultured bacterium. Its description in RNAcentral is "partial 16S ribosomal RNA". It matches the Rfam family "Bacterial small subunit ribosomal RNA", at positions 338 to 795 of the family's 1533-position model. The record is from RNAcentral.